Molecule: RNA transcript, 5082 nt
Organism: Pezoporus occidentalis (night parrot)
Lineage: Eukaryota; Metazoa; Chordata; Aves; Psittaciformes; Psittacidae
Gene: KLF7
Gene name: KLF transcription factor 7
Exons: 5
Source: RefSeq, a predicted model, not a curated record
GGAGGGGGCAGGGAGGGCGGUCGCCAUCGCGCAUGGCCGCGGUGCGCGGCGGCGGGGACGUGCCCCGGUGCGGCGGCCGCGGGGUGCUCGGUGCGUGCCGGCGCCGCUCGUCCUCCUCGGCCCGGCCCCCGGCCGUCGCCGUCCCUCCGCGCUGAUUCUCUCUCCUCUCUCUCUUUUUUUUUAAAGUGUGACUGAAACAAAACAAAGCCAAAGGGACGCUGGAUCUAUCAUUGGUUGAUUUUCUUUCUCCUUUUUUUUUUUUUUAUGAUCAAAAACAACCCCCCUACCCCAGCAAACAAACACACACAAAAGCAGAAAGAGAGGGUCUUGCUCAAGCAGCAGCAUGGAUGUCUUGGCUAGUUAUAGUAUAUUCCAGGAACUCCAGCUUGUCCACGACACCGGCUACUUCUCAGCUUUGCCAUCCUUGGAGGAAAACUGGCAGCAGACGUGCCUGGAGUUGGAGCGAUACCUUCAGACUGAACCACGGAAGAUCUCUGAGACCUUUGGUGAGGAUUUGGACUGUUUCCUUCAUGCCGCCUCAGCCCCAGAUGCAGAGGACAAUAUCCGACGGCUGGACCCCAUCCUUUUACCUGUGGAGACGAGUACAUGUGACAAAAGCACUAACGUGGACAUUAUCCUCUCACGGGACAAGCUGCUCUCUGAGACGUGCCUCAGUUUGCAAUCCACCAGCUCUUCCACAGAAGGCUACACAGCCGUCAACCAGGCCCAGCUCAAUGCAGUAACCUCAUUAACACCCCCUUCCUCCCCAGAGCUCAGCCGCCACCUUGUAAAAACCUCACAGACUCUCUCAGCGGUGGAUGGCACAGUGACGUUGAAACUGGUGGCCAAGAAAACUUCACUCAGCUCUGUGAAAGUGGGUGUAGUGACAGCGACCGCAGGGGCAAUAAAAACUGGGCAAAGUGACAGUGAGCACGUUGGUACAGGGGCAGAAGCAUCCCCAGAAAACAAGAAGAGGGUUCAUCGCUGUCAGUUUAAUGGGUGCCGGAAGGUUUAUACAAAGAGCUCCCACUUAAAGGCUCACCAGAGGACUCAUACAGGUGAGAAGCCUUACAAGUGCUCGUGGGAAGGGUGCGAGUGGCGUUUUGCACGGAGUGACGAGCUCACAAGGCAUUACAGAAAGCACACGGGUGCAAAGCCCUUUAAAUGCAACCAUUGUGACAGGUGUUUUUCCAGGUCUGAUCACCUUGCCCUCCACAUGAAAAGACACAUCUAAAUACCAGUCAGCUUGGCACAGAUGUCAUCUGAGCUCAGUGUUGUGAGAUGAAAGUGGGACUCAAGUUUCAACGCGCUACCUUGCAGGAGACAAGAACUUGAUCACGUGUAAUCCUCUGUACAGAGACCACACGCUCACACUGUCAUGCACCCGAUUAUACUUCAAUACGUACAUCAGUUCUUCAUGCCUUGCCCCAGCUGGAUGGGUGAAGAUGCAGGCGAAGAAAUGGUAUAGAGGUGAAGUCAAUGAGGAGAAAUAAUUGCUUACAGUGCUUCGUCCCUUGGAUUUGUUUCCUGGCUUUGCCAAUGGAAAUCAAAGAACACAAAGGAGACUUCCCUGCAGGUGGACGGCAGUAGGAGGGGCUUAUUUAACUUGCUUCUCAAUGCAACUCAACAGGAGAAUAUGUCGUCUUGAAGUUGCAUAUUUGUAGCACUAACUUUCUUUUUAAAUAGAUGGGGGGGAACAAUGACCUAGAAAACCAAAUCCCAGUUUGGUAGCCAAAAUUAACCUCUUGGUUCAUUUGUUCUUUGUCUGAGAAUUCCUAAUGUUCAAUGUGUCAGACUUCUCACAGACACUUUGACCUGUCAUGGUUUUGGUUCUUCUUCCUAGAACUGAGCUAUUGAGAUCCUUUUAAGUCAAUACCAGUGGCCUUAAUGGCAGUAGACUGUGGAGUGACACUUGUGACACAAAUAUCCUCUUUUUUGGCCUGAGUUUAUGUAGACUUCACGGAGGACUAUAUUUUUGUUGGUUGUUUUUGUUUUAAUUUUUGUUUUGGCUAUUGCACAACAUAUGCACUAGGGACUCUGGAAGCUGCUGCCAUGAUGGCUAAGUGGCCAAGGGAUAAACCCCAGAGAAACAGCACCUAAUGUCUCUGUAGGCCUCACCUUAUUGCCAUAGCUAGGACUUCUUGUUUCUUUGUUGAACAAAAAACUUUAAAAGCUUUUUUGGAAGCUUAAACAUAUUUUCUCUUUUCUUCACAAACAAGUGAUCUUCAGAACUCCUUGUCUCCACCUGAAUAUCCGUCUGGGACUGGCCACACAGGCAUGACUACAGGAUUCCUUCCACAUCAUGCUAGCACAUUUUCACUUAAUAUGUGGAAAGAGCUGACCAAACACAGAUGGGGAAGAACCUGAACCCAAGAGGAGUCCCCAGGUUCUUGCUUCUGGAACUGUUUUAACUUCAGGAGUAAAAAGAUAAUUACUCACCAGGGUGUGUGGCUAAAAUGGAGUUGAUCCAUAUGAUAGUUACAGUGAUGGAGUGUAUCUGAUCUGUGACCUUCCUGAUAUUUACAGGAUCAGGCUUUUUCCCUUGUUUUUACCUGGCCCUAGACAGUUUGGGCUUCUUAGCUGUCUCUAACACACUAGUGUAUUUAUCUGCAUACAAAAGAGGUCAUAAUUGGUGCUUUUGACAAAACUGAUGAAGAGCCAACUUGUUUAAGUGUUUCCUUUUCUCUGCCUGUUCCCUUAAUGUAUGUUAAAAUCUUUAAAUUUAAAAAAAAAAAAAAAAGAGGAAGAUUUUGUAAAUAACUUAAUGUUACUAGGCCAGCACCCAGUGGAUCAAGGGCUUUUAUUCUUGAUUUCAUUCAGGACUUGGCACAUCCUAUCAUUCCAUCCAGUAAGACUGUUUUUAAGCUUUCAUAUCUUAGGUGACACCUCUAACCCAACACUCUUUGAAAGCAGUCCUUGCUGGUUUCAGAUAGAAUUGCACUUGCAAAGAUCCCCACAUACAAAGAAUAAAGAACAAUGUGUGAUAAUAGCUCUAUUUAACUCUGUACUGAAAAAUUUUAGUUACUUCCUCACAAGAUACUUCAGCUAUUCAUUGACAAGUCUUGCCUGUCUCUCCCUAGCAUUAAAUCUACACCUUCUUGAAUGAUGAUUUCCAGACCAAGCUUGGAUGUUCUUCCUUUUGUCACUUUUGUGUCUCUUUUCAUUAGUAGUUUAGGGAUGACUACUGCAGUCUUUCUCCUCCUCAGCUCUACAUUGGCUUCAGUGGCAAGAAUUAGCACUGUAAGAUCUGUAGGAUCUGGCCCAGCAGGUACUAAGAUCUGUCUUGUAAAGCUGAGACUUUCCUCCUCCCUUAGAGGAAAAAGUCCAGAACAUACUCGUCUAUAUAAUUUAUAUAUAUAAUGAUAUAAUUAUAUAUAUGAAUUAUAUACAUAAAAAUGUGGAGAUGAGAGGUAGGCUGCCUUUAUCACCUCAAGAAUGGGUUUCCCUACCUGAAAACUUUAAAACGCAGGCGUCGUUUUUCAAACAGGGUUUUAUAGUUUUCCUUAAUGCUUGUUUAUGGCAUUUUUGGUGUAAUAAUUGAAGUUGGAACUCUUUGCGAUUUUCAAAAUGAAAGCUUUGAUGAUUUUUUUUUUAAGUGCUUUGAUCCUAACUUCUGUAUACUGCCAGAAAACAGGUUCUCCACCCUGUCUCUGUGUGGGUGUGGAUGUACAACAGUGUACUAUAUAUACCUAACACAGAAGAGGAAACCGAGCUACUGACUUACAGUUUGUAGUAGCCAACCGUGCCUAUUGCUUUGAUUUGGGAGGGCACUUGCUGUUGCCACUGCAUUUUAGGACUCAUGUCGGCUUCUCUAGGAAAAGUUUUCAACAGUGCUGGGAGAUACAUGUUGCUGUGUACUGCAAAUGAAUAGGCUGCAAAUUUGGGGUUGGGAGGGGAGGUGGAAAGGGAGGAGGAUGAGGGCUUAGCAUGUACACACUAAAAGUGAACUAGAAUGGACAGAAAGGUAACAAGUUUAGCCUUUUUUGUUAGGCUCUCGGGGAAAUGAAAAGCUAUCACACAGUUCCUGGAAGGCCUGAUGGCCGAAGGGCUGAUCCUUGCAACAUACAUUUUACCCGGCGCUCUGUAUUUUAAACCCCAGGCCUGUCAGAUUCUGGAAGUAGAUCAAAACACUGGUUUAAACACUACUUUGUUACCAAGGCCAUGUCUCUACCAGGGAAGUUGCCCUAAGUUCAUUACCAGUCAAGUUAAAAUCACUUUGUAGGUGCACUUAUUACUUGAUCGCCUGGAUUUUCUUUGCAUUGGCAUCCUAUGCAGUUAAGCUGAAGUGUAAGAAAUCCUUCAGCCUGUUAAGAUACCUCUACAGGAAGGUUCUUGCACCAAUUUAAGUACCUAAACCACAGUGCAGCUUUUCUCUUAGAAACAAGGCCUUAGUUUAGCAUGGCUACUCAUCUAGUUGAAAAAUAAUAAUGCAGGCUGAGAUUUUCUUUCCUUGCUUUUCCAAGCGGCCUGUUUUCUUUCUUGUCCUUUGGAACCUUUCUUGCUCUGUACUUACUACAUGUUAUAUUAUUGUUUGGGGGAUUUAUUUCUUUUUGUUUAGCAACAACACAAAAAAGCAUGAAUGCUCCCUAUUUAAAAAAAAAAAAAAAAGAAAACAACAUUGCUUGAAGGACUUUCAUUUUGCACUAUAAUUUUUCUUUUACCAGAUGUGUCUGACAAGUGCAUUUUGGAGAUGCCCUCGGUCACGUUCUCUCAGGCCUACUCUGGUAUUUCUAAUAUAUCACAGAAGUACCCAAUCUUGUAGCCCUCAGUUCUGCCUUUUUUUGACAUUUUAUUUUUUUUAAGCUUUUUAUAUAUAUAUAUAUAUAAAUAUAUUACUUUGUCAGUUUUUUUGCUGUACAAAAAGUCUUAAGAUUUAAAAAUAUUAUUUGUAUUAUAUGAUGGUGGUAUGUUAAUGUUACAAAAUUAUUAAUGAAGAAAAAAUUUAUUUUUGUUACUGGUCUGUUUCAUAAUUCUUUUUUAAAUUGGUAUAUUGUAAGAUAUCUAUGCAAAAAUGUUAUGUGACGCAUUUUUAUUUAAGAAUGUAAUAUGUGUAAUAAACAGUAGAAUGUGUUUGGCCCGACA